Ooceraea biroi (clonal raider ant) is the source of this 851-nucleotide long non-coding RNA. RefSeq lists it as uncharacterized. The record is from RefSeq and is a predicted model, not a curated record. NCBI's taxonomy places the organism in Eukaryota, Metazoa, Arthropoda, Insecta, Hymenoptera, Formicidae.
CCGUUUCCCUCUACGAAAUUACUCCGAUCGCGGUAUCCCCGGGGAGAAUUCUCGGAUUCGUUAAUACCCGAAAACAGCGAUCCAGCCCCGUGUCAUUGCCCGAGUUAAUCAACAACCGCGGCCGACCGGGACGUAACAAUGAACUAUCGAACACUGGUGAGGAGAAGUGUUUCGCGGACCAACGCGACGCAAGCACUCGUCAGCCACGGAUACGCUCACAUUGCGGAUGGAAGAGCAGCAAGAAACAGAAGGAUUGUCGUCAAGCAACCUCCUCCACCGUAGAUCAUCGUCAAACAGCCUCCUUCACCGCACGCGAAUGUUUUCAAGAAGAUGUGGAAGACAGACGAGAACGACAAAACUUUAUGUUAAAAAACGUAUAUGCACAUAUAAAAUGUAUAUAAAAAUAAAAAUAAUUAAAUAAAAUAAUAACUGAUAGUUUAAAAGAAAAAAAAGAAAACCGUGGGCGAAAUGUUUAAGUAAAGGAAAGAAGAAGGAAGAAGUUUGCCAGAAAGGUCAAAUUAAGAUUUAUUAUUUACCUUAAGAAGAUUUAUUAUAAGCCUAUGAUGACGUGAUUAAAUUCAUUAUCUUAAACUAUAUAUUAUAGGCCUUGACCUUUAUUAAUUUCAUUAAGAAUCGUUAACAAUGUAAUAAUGGCAAUCUCAUGUAUAUAAUAUAGUAAAUAAUAAUGUGAAAUUUUCAACUUUGGUAUGUAGUGUAUAAUUUAUUUAUUAAGUAUGGACAAUAGUAUGCAGUUUGAUAUUCAUAUUUUUUAAUAGUAUAAUGUAAUAAAAUAUAGUAUAGUAUAAUAUAUAAUAUAGUCACUCUCUUCCACCUACUCCUCCUUUCCUUCC